RNAcentral lists this ribosomal RNA (326 nucleotides) under uncultured bacterium. Its description in RNAcentral is "bacterial SSU rRNA". It matches the Rfam family "Bacterial small subunit ribosomal RNA", at positions 28 to 334 of the family's 1533-position model. The record is from RNAcentral.
GAUGAACGCUGGCGGCGUGCCUAACACAUGCAAGUCGAACGAAGCUUGACGAAUGAUUUUUCGGAAUGAAUUCUGAUAUGACUUAGUGGCGGACGGGUGAGUAACACGUGAGCAACCUGCCUUUCAGAGGGGGACAACAGUUGGAAACGACUGCUAAUACCGCAUAAGCCCACGACCCGGCAUCGGGUUGAGGGAAAAGGAGCAAUCCGCUUUGAGAUGGCCUCGCGUCCGAUUAGCUAGUUGGUGGGGUAACGGCCCACCAAGGCAACGAUCGGUAGCCGGACUGAGAGGUUGAACGGCCACAUUGGGACUGAGACACGGCCCAA